UUGACUGCAAGGAUUAUUGC
This 20-nucleotide microRNA is filed under the name Callorhinchus milii (elephant shark). RNAcentral describes it as "eshark_NOVEL_371". The record is from RNAcentral. Lineage: Eukaryota; Metazoa; Chordata; Chondrichthyes; Chimaeriformes; Callorhinchidae.